Molecule: long non-coding RNA, 546 nt
Organism: Coffea eugenioides
Lineage: Eukaryota; Viridiplantae; Streptophyta; Magnoliopsida; Gentianales; Rubiaceae
Exons: 2
Source: RefSeq, a predicted model, not a curated record
UUGACACUUAGACUUAACCAUUAAGUCACCAAUUCUCUCCACUUUCAUUACAAUACCUGAUUUCACUCUCUCUCCUCUCGUCACUCUCUAGUUGGCCGAAGAUGGGAAGAAAAAAAUCUAGCCAAAAUCCUCACAAACUUGCUUCAAUCCACUUCCAAAUUUCAUCAUCCAUUAGAGGGCUUUGAUCCUAGCUUGGAAGAGGGGGCUGUUCAUCGGUUUUCUUGGAGGAAUUUCGGUCAAGAUUUCUGCCCUAAAGCUGUCCAACUAAGUUCUUGAGGUUUGGAAGUGGAAGUUCUGAGGCUUAAUUAGUGACCCCCAAAAAUAAUUUUUCCCCACAGGGCUCGAGGCCAAAGAAAGCGCUUGUAUUGAGUUAUUAGUGUCUGAAGGGAUAUCUCAUAUAUAAUUUGAAUUCGAUUCACUUGAUAAGUAUUUGAUGUAAUUAUUUGAGAACUGAGGACUUUUGUCUUAUUCGGGGAAUGAUACCCUUACUUGAGAUUUGUAAUGUAUCUUAUCUCGUUCUAAGUUUGAAAAAUGUUAUUUCGUUUA